GAUGAACGCUGGCGGCGUGCCUAAUACAUGCAAGUCGAGUGAACAGACGAGGAGCUUGCUCCUCUGACGUUAGCGGCGGACGGGUGAGUAACACGUGGAUAACCUACCUAUAAGACUGGGAUAACUUCGGGAAACCGGAGCUAAUACCGGAUAAUAUAUUGAACCGCAUGGUUCAAUAGUGAAAGACGGUUUUGCUGUCACUUAUAGAUGGAUCCGCGCCGCAUUAGCUAGUUGGUAAGGUAACGGCUUACCAAGGCAACGAUGCGUAGCCGACCUGAGAGGGGGAUCGGCCACACUGGAACUGAGACACGGUCCAGACUCCUGCGGGAGGCAGCAGUAGGGAAUCUUCCGCAAUGGGCGAAAGCCUGACGGAGCAACGCCGCGUGAGUGAUGAAGGUCUUCGGAUCGUAAAACUCUGUUAUUAGGGAAGAACAAAUGUGUAAGUAACUAUGCACGUCUUGACGGUACCUAAUCAGAAAGCCACGGCUAACUACGUG
This 497-nucleotide ribosomal RNA is filed under the name uncultured bacterium. RNAcentral's name for it is "partial 16S ribosomal RNA". It matches the Rfam family "Bacterial small subunit ribosomal RNA", at positions 28 to 507 of the family's 1533-position model. The record is from RNAcentral.